RNAcentral lists this ribosomal RNA (301 nucleotides) under uncultured bacterium. Its description in RNAcentral is "partial 16S ribosomal RNA". It matches the Rfam family "Bacterial small subunit ribosomal RNA", at positions 509 to 807 of the family's 1533-position model. The record is from RNAcentral.
CAGCCGCCGCGGGAAUACGUAGGGUGCAAGCGUUAAUCGGAAUUACUGGGCGUAAAGCGUGCGCAGGCGGUUCUAUAAGACAGAUGUGAAAUCCCCGGGCUCAACCUGGGAACUGCAUUUGUGACUGUAGAGCUGGAGUGCGGCAGAGGGGGAUGGAAUUCCGCGUGUAGCAGUGAAAUGCGUAGAUAUGCGGAGGAACACCGAUGGCGAAGGCAAUCCCCUGGGCCUGCACUGACGCUCAUGCACGAAAGCGUGGGGAACAAACAGGAUUAGAUACCCCCGUAGUCCCUGUCUCUUAUAC